This is a long non-coding RNA of Lycium ferocissimum, 491 nucleotides long. RefSeq lists it as uncharacterized. NCBI's taxonomy places the organism in Eukaryota, Viridiplantae, Streptophyta, Magnoliopsida, Solanales, Solanaceae. The record is from RefSeq and is a predicted model, not a curated record. The transcript has 2 exons.
UUUAAGUUUGCACUUUGGUUUGAGUGGUAUGAGACAAGGAUUUACAUUGGUCAUUUUGCUAUCUUUGUGGGCGGUGAUAAGAUACAAUAUCAUUCAUCUAAGAUGUUUGUUUCCCUUGCAUGAAUGGUAUCAUAGGUUGCAGCUUGGAAGCAUGAGGUUUGUGGAAGAACAUUGCUACAACAUGAAGAUACUUGAGUUAAAGAUCAGAUUUGACAUCGAUUGAAGACAAUCUUUUACAAAAACUCUUUUAAGUCCACUUUCUUUUUUGUCUUAUUUUAUAUUGUUUCUUUUAAAGCAAAGGGGGAUGCUAUAUAUCCAGGAUUAGUAAUCAUAAUUGUAUUGAUAGAAUCGUAAUACCUGUCGUCUAACUUUGGAAUUUGGAUGGUUGUAUGUUAUGUUUAUACAUGUACAAAGUCCCCAUAUUAUUUUUCUUAAGAAUUUGGUCGUCUUCUUGCUGAAGUAAGAAAAAGCAAUAAAGAUUCAAUUUAUUU